UAAUCCCUACUAGAACUAUAACUGGUCAUAGAAUGUGCAUUGAUUAUAGGAAGUUAAAUGCUGCAUCUAGGAAAGAUCAUUUUCCUUUACCAUUCAUUGACCAAAUGCUUGAACGUUUAGCUAAUCAUCCAUACUAUUGCUUUCUUGAUGGAUAUAGUGGUUUCUUUCAAAUACCAAUUCACCCUAAUGAUCAAGAAAAAACCACUUUCACAUGUCCCUACGGAACUUUUGCUUAUAAGAGAAUGUCAUUUGGUUUAUGUAAUGCUCCUGCAACAUUUCAGAGGUGUAUGACCUCUAUAUUUUCAGAUUUAAUCGAGGAGAUGGUGGAGGUUUUCAUGGACGAUUUUUCGGUCUAUGGCCCCUCUUUCUCCUCAUGUUUGUUGAAUCUUGGCAGGGUACUGACCAGGUGCGAAGAGACGAAUCUUGUUCUCAAUUGGGAAAAGUGUCAUUUCAUGGUGAAGGAAGGCAUAGUGUUGGGUCACAAGAUAUCAGAGAAGGGUAUAGAGGUUGACAAAGGAAAAAUUGAAGUGAUGAUGCAGUUGCAGCCACCAAAAACGGUGAAGGACAUCAGAAGUUUCCUUGGUCAUGCUGGGUUCUACAGAAGAUUUAUUAAAGACUUCUCCAAGAUAGCCAGGCCGUUAACCAGACUAUUGUGCAAGGAAACCAAAUUUGAAUUCGAUGAGGACUGCCUCAAAUCAUUUCACACCAUCAAAGAUGCUUUGGUAUCUGCUCCCGUUGUUCGAGCGCCUAAUUGGGACUACCCAUUUGAAAUCAUGUGUGAUGCAUCAGAUUACAUAGUAGGAGCUAUUUUAGGCCAGAAAAUAGAUAAGAAGCUUCAUGUCAUAUAUUACGCCAGCCGAACGUUGGAUGAAGCUUAGGGAAGAUAUGCAACAACUGAGAAGGAGGUUCUAGCUGUUGUAUUCGCAUUUGAGAAGUUCAGAAGCAAUUUGGUUGGAUCAAAGGUCACUGUCUAUACAGACCAUGCAGCUUUGAGGCAUCUGUAUGCCAAGAAGGAUACUAAACCAAGACUGGUGAGAUGGAUACUUUUAUUGCAAGAGUUUGACAUGGAGAUAGUAGAUAAGAAAGGCUUUGAAAAUGGUGCAGCUGACCAUCUUUCAAGGAUGAGAAUUGAAGAACCCCUUCCGAUAGACGAUUCAAUGCCAGAAGAGCAGCUCAUGGUUGUAGAGUUCUUCGGAAGGAGCUACAGUGGGAAAGAGUUCCACCAACUGAAUGUUGUUGAAGGAGAAUCUCCAUGGUAUGCUGAUCACGUCAAUUACUUAGCAUGCGGAGUAGAGUCUCCCAACCUGACAAGUUAUGAAAGGAAGAAGUUUUUCAGAGACAUACACCAUUACUACUUGGAUGAGCCUUAUCUUUACACUCUCUGUAAAGAUAAGAUCUACAGGAGAUGUGUCUCAGAAGAUGAAGUGGAAGGUAUCCUGCUGCAUUGCCAUGGCUCAGCAUAUGGUGGUCACUUCGCGACGUUCAAGACAGUGUCCAAGAUUCUUCAAGCGGGCUUUUGGUGGCCAACAAUGUUUAAGGGUGCUCAGGAGUUUGUUUCAAAGUGUGAUUCAUGCCAGAGAAAAGGCAACAUCAGCAGAAGAAAUGAGAUGCCUUAGAAUCCAAUCUUGGAAGUUGAGAUCUUUGAUGUAUGGGGGAUUGAUUUUAUGGGUCCAUUCCCAUCUUCAUACGGUAACAAAUAUAUACUGGUCGUCGUAGACUACGUAUCCAACUGGGUCGAAGCUAUUGCUAGUCCUACCAACGAUGCAAAAGUUUUGCUAAAGCUGUUCAAGACCAUAAUCUUCCCAAGAUUUGGAGUUCCCAGGGUAGUAAUCAGUGAUGGCGGAAAGCAUUUCAUCAACAAGGGUUUUGAGAACCUCUUGAAGAAGCAUGGAGUAAAGCACAAGGUCGCCACUCCCUAUCAUCCACAAACAAGGGGGCAGGUUGAGAUCUCCAACAGGGAGAUAAAAACAAUUCUGGAAAAGACUGUUGGGAUUACAAGGAAAAAUUGGUCUGCAAAGCUAGAUGAUGCGUUAUGGGCUUACAGAACAGCCUUCAAGACCCCCAUUGGUACAACUCCUUUCAAUCUUCUCUAUGGAAAAUCUACAAGGAGAGAACCAAGCUUUUCCGUGACAAGAAGAUCAUCACUAAGGAUUUCCAGGUUGGUGAUCAGGUGCCGCUGUUCAACUCUCGCUUGAAACUCUUCCCAGGAAAACUUAAAUCCAGAUGGUCUGGCCCCUUCUGUAUCACUAAGGUCCGUCCUUAUGGAGCAGUCACUCUAGCUGGUAAGAGUGGAGACUUCACGGUAAAUGGUCAAAGGCUCAAGAAAUACUUAGCAGAUCAAAUCCUUCCAGAGGUAACAUCGGUUCAUCUCCAGGAACUUCUUGAUGAUUAAAGGAGUAAAGGAGUCAAGCUAAUGACUUUAAACAAGCUCACUUGGGGGGAAUUCCCAUGACUAUCUCUGUAAAUAAAUUUUUAUUUUCUUGUUAUUUUUGAUUUGUCUUGGUUGUGUUUGUGGUUCUCAAGAACAAAGGAACAAUGUGGAGAUAGAGUAAAAAUUCAAAACUUUUACUCUACAGAAGACUUGGAGAUCGAGUGUAUAGCCCGUUGGAGUACAAAAUUUUGAAAAUCUUCUGUUACACCUGGAGACCUUGCACUCGAGUACAUUGGUCGAGUAUGUGUGAUGUUUUAAAACCAAAAACUUUUAAAUCAUCAUCUUACUCGACCAACAGAAGCUACAGAGACUUGCAGGGAUUUCCUGCAGUUUACAGUAAGUUUUCUACAAAUUUUCUCAGUCAACAGAUUGUGGGCCACGCGCUGAGGAUAAGCUGGAGAGAGAAUCUAAAACUCAAACUCAACCACUCUUUUUGAAACUUCACUCGACUUAACCAUAUCCACUCGAGCUACCUCUUUUCAUCUCACCACCGACACUCCAAUUUCUCUACACCACGAAUCGCCGCCCAAAUAACUACUCGAUCUAGAAUAAAUCACUCGACCUCCGCAAUGUCACUCGACCUCCCCGCCGCCGUCACCAUUUCAUUCCCUCCGUCCCUCGACCAGACCACUUCAAUCAAUUCCUUAGCUAUACUAGACCAAUUCAUCCACAUCAACCGCCGUCUCUUUCAAAAGAAGCUACUCGACCUCGUUUCCCAAUCUCGUAGCCGCACUCGACCGAUGCCGCCUCGACCACCAUAAAGCACUCGACCCCUGCAAAAGCAACUCGGCUUCUUGUUCUUGAAUUCAACGGAGCUUUUCAACUUCAGAGAAGUUACUCGACCUCUAGGCUUCACGAUUCACUCGACCUACUAAAGCAUUCCAACUCGAAUUCGGAGAAGAUACUCGAUCCAAUUCGUCUAAGGGGAACUCAAGAACAGCUUAGUCUACUCGAGUACAGAAUUGUACUCGAUCAAUAGGGUCUAUUUCAUUGCAUAUUGAUAACAAUUUUGGUUUCAUUGCUAUCUUUGAGACUAACCUAUUGACAUUUGAGCUUUUAGUUCUAAAUUUUUACAGGGGAAUCAUGAGCAAUUAUAGUGGCAGUUCUUCUGUUGAUCCUGACUACAACAUGGAUGAGACAGAGUCGUCAUCUUCAAGGCCUGAGAGAGAACAAAGAGAAUAUGAAAGCUUCAGAAGAAAAGCUGAGAUAGCCCGAGGGAAGAGAGCGAUGACAGAGAGGUAUGAGCUUCUAGACGAAGAUCUGGAAGACGAGUACAUGCCAGAGCAUACUCGCACAGCUACCAAACUUGUGCACAAGCCCGACGUAUUGCCUGCUGAGGAAUAUAUUAGGCUCUUCAAGCUGAAUGAGUUCUGUAGCACGAGGUAUCCUUGCUCGACCACACUUGCACAACUCGGAUUGUUGGAGGAUGUUCAGCACCUGUACCAGAGUUAUCAUCUGGACACUCUGAUGGCUUAUCCGUAUGUAGCAUAUGAAGAUGAGAUAAUUCAAUUUCUCUCCACGCUACAAGUGGAGCUCUACCAAGGUAUGACCUCUGAUGAGUUGGAUUGUGAAGGAUUGGGACUCUUGCGGUUCUGUGUGUAUGGUCAUGAGUAUAGGUUAUCAAUCAAGCGUUUGGAAGGAUUGUUUGGCUUCCCCAGUGGAACGGGAACUAAGCCCAAGUAUGACAGAGAAGAGUUGAAAGACUUGUGGAUCACCAUUGGCAGCUCUGUACCGUUGAAUUCUUCCAGGUCAAAGAGCAAUCAGAUACGCAGCCCUGUCAUCAGGUACUUCUAGCGUUCUAUAGCCAAUGUACUCUACUCCCGAGAGAUCACAUGGACUGUUACUAACUCUGAUAUGGAGAUGAUCGCAAUGGCUCUCAAGGGAACUCUUCGCCAAACUAAGAAUGGCAUGUCUCUCCAAGGUGAAGUCAAUGACACACCUCUCUCUGUACUUCUUCUGAUCCAUCUGUGUGGAUACAAGAGCUGGGCUGUCAGCAAUAACCACAAGAGAGCGCGAGGCGCUUUGUGCAUAGGUGGUGUUAUGACACCGAUUCUGAUAGCUUGUGGAGUCCCAAUCAUUUCUGAUGGACUCGAGCCGCGAGCAAUGGAUAUCGAGCACCUACGUCACUGAGAAUUCCUGGAGUUUGCAAUGGUUGACGACUUGCACAGGUUCAGGUUUGAGAACUCUACAGACAAGAGAGCUAGCAUCCUUCUCCCUAGCCCUAAGGUUACACGGAUAAUAGAGGGAGAUAACAUUGAUUUUCAGCCUGAGGUUGGACACCUCUACUAUGAAAACGCUCCGCCAUUGGAUGAGGAUGAUCUUCUAGAAGAAGCUGCUUUGGAUGGGAUGGAUGAAGACAGAGCAGUGGAGUUCGACACUAGCAUGUAUCACUUUGGUGAACAGAGCUUGAGUGAAGCUCAUAAGAACAACAGUAAACUGUAGAAGUGGUGCAAGAAGCAGAACAAGCUGCUCGCCAAGUGUUUCAAGACUCUCAAGUUUCAGUAACAGUCCACUUCUAUUCCACAGGGACAGCCUCCUCUGGAGAUGCCAUCGAGGAGAUUUGAUGAUCCUGAGCACAGGCGUGAGCUUAGCGAGCAGAGAGUCUCACUGUCCCGGCUAGGCAUUCGUCAUUCGAGUCCCGGGAACACAAGAGAAGAAGGAAGGCUACACUCACUUGAUCUAGCAGCAAAUCACGCCUCAUUCACUCGAGGAGGUCACUCGACCGCGGUGCUGGCCGCAGCAAAAGGAGAGAGGUCGAGUAUCCUCAGAGCGGUGCUGACCGCUACAGACCUGAUGAGGUCGAGUACCCACCUGCUGGAGCUGAUACAAAACAAGGCGGUUUGUCUAUGGCCUGGGAGCAAUCACAGGCAGUCAUUGACGAGCAACUACGUUCAUUCUUCGACUGAGGUAAGCGCCUCACUUCACCAUUGUAUUAUAUCAUCUGUUGUGAUUUGUUUCUUCAUUUUGUUUAUGUGAUUGGAUUUGUCCUGAGUACUCUUUUCCAAGUUUAUUCGCACAGUGGACUGUGUGAUUUAAGUUUGGGGGAGGGCUCAGGAAGUGUGUGUUGCAUUGUAUAUAUUCUUGAGUCUGCAUUCAUCUAAGGCAUAAAAAAAACAAAAA
Molecule: small RNA, 5551 nt
Filed under: Arabidopsis thaliana (thale cress)
Lineage: Eukaryota; Viridiplantae; Streptophyta; Magnoliopsida; Brassicales; Brassicaceae
Description: ATSL166330
Rfam family: MIR854 microRNA precursor family (bases 4779-4954)
Source: RNAcentral